CCCUCCCUCCCAGACCCUCCCACCUCCUGGACAGCAUCCAUUUUGAAGCUGCAUUCUUAUUGAGCUGUCCAGGAGGUGGGAGGGUCUGGGAGGGAGGG
Molecule: microRNA precursor, 98 nt
Filed under: Pelobates cultripes (western spadefoot toad)
Lineage: Eukaryota; Metazoa; Chordata; Amphibia; Anura; Pelobatidae
Source: RNAcentral